UGGCUUCAGUGGCUCUCGCACUAGAUUUGGAAAUACACAGAGAAGACCAGCAUUGUGCCUGCGCAAAGAUGACGUGCAAAUUCAUGAAGUAGUUCGUUUAAAA
This is a small nuclear RNA of Acomys russatus (golden spiny mouse), 103 nucleotides long. The record is from RefSeq and is a predicted model, not a curated record. NCBI's taxonomy places the organism in Eukaryota, Metazoa, Chordata, Mammalia, Rodentia, Muridae.